AACGAACGCUGGCGGCAUGCCUAACACAUGCAAGUCGAACGCCUCGGUUCGCCAGGGAGUGGCGCACGGGUGAGUAACGCGUGGGAACCUGCCCGGCAGUACGGGACAACCGCGGGAAACUGCGGCUGAUACCGUAUACAGCCUGAGGGCGAAAGAAAUUCGCUGUCGGAGGGCCCGCGUCGGAUUGAGGUAGUUGGUGGGGUAACGGCCUACCAAGCCUGCCGAUCCGUAGCUGGUCUGAGAGGAUGAUCAGCCACACUGGGACUGAGACACGGCCCAGACUCCUACGGGAGGCAGCAGUGGGGAAUAUUGACAAUGGGCNCAAGCCUGAUCCAGCAAUGCCGCGUGAGUGAUGAAGGCCUUAGGGUUGUAAAGCUCUUUCGCCCGCGACGAUGAUGACGGUAGCGGGAGAAGAAGCCCCGGCUAACUCCGUGCCAGCAGCCGCGGUAAUACGGAGGGGCUAGCGUUGUUCGGAAUUACUGGGCGUAAAGGGCGCGCAGGCGGCUGCUCAAGUCAGGCGUGAAAGGCCUGGGCUCAA
This 538-nucleotide ribosomal RNA is filed under the name uncultured bacterium. RNAcentral describes it as "bacterial SSU rRNA". It matches the Rfam family "Bacterial small subunit ribosomal RNA", at positions 28 to 612 of the family's 1533-position model. The record is from RNAcentral.